Molecule: long non-coding RNA, 507 nt
Organism: Eubalaena glacialis (North Atlantic right whale)
Lineage: Eukaryota; Metazoa; Chordata; Mammalia; Artiodactyla; Balaenidae
Exons: 3
Source: RefSeq, a predicted model, not a curated record
GCCGAGAGGUGGGAGAGGUGAGCUUGGGAAAGUCUGAGAGGAAACCUCCCGUGUUUCGCUCUCUGCUCGGGAGGACCAACUUGUCCCCCUUGUAGGGGCCCUGCCGCCAACGAUGUAUGCGAAGGAACAGUAAAACGGAAAUUUUACCGUUCAACAGUCGCAAGAGUAUUUAGAGGAAAAAAGUGUCACAGUUUGGUAAGAAGAUCAAAGGGCACGAUCAACAGCUCGUGCACUGCCUUGGUGUGGACCCAGAGUUCAAGCACAGACGAAGAUCAGACACUGACUUCACACUUCUGAUAGGAGCAUGAGCCCUCAGCUUGCUCGUAAAUUUCAGGACCUCUUCUCCUGCAUCCACAGGCGGGUAGAGGGUCAUCCUCAUCAACAGCUCUACCAGCGCCACCUCUACCUAGAAGAGUUGCUCCUCCUCCUCCAACUACUUUACCUAGAAUAAGUAGUAAACCAUCACCACCACCAUCACUUUUGUUGGAGGAUCUCUUCCUCCAGGAU